Molecule: ribosomal RNA, 616 nt
Filed under: Lacticaseibacillus paracasei
Lineage: Bacteria; Bacillati; Bacillota; Bacilli; Lactobacillales; Lactobacillaceae
Description: bacterial SSU rRNA
Rfam family: Bacterial small subunit ribosomal RNA
Source: RNAcentral
UUCCACAAUGGACGCAAGUCUGAUGGAGCAACGCCGCGUGAGUGAAGAAGGCUUUCGGGUCGUAAAACUCUGUUGUUGGAGAAGAAUGGUCGGCAGAGUAACUGUUGUCGGCGUGACGGUAUCCAACCAGAAAGCCACGGCUAACUACGUGCCAGCAGCCGCGGUAAUACGUAGGUGGCAAGCGUUAUCCGGAUUUAUUGGGCGUAAAGCGAACGCAGGCGGUUUUUUAAGCCUGAUGUGAAAGCCCUCGGCUUAACCGAGGAAGCGCAUCGGAAACUGGGAAACUUGAGUGCAGAAGAGGACAGUGGAACUCCAUGUGUAGCGGUGAAAUGCGUAGAUAUAUGGAAGAACACCAGUGGCGAAGGCGGCUGUCUGGUCUGUAACUGACGCUGAGGCUCGAAAGCAUGGGUAGCGAACAGGAUUGGAUACCCUGGUAGUCCAUGCCGUAAACGAUGAAUGCUAGGUGUUGGAGGGUUUCCGCCCUUCAGUGCCGCAGCUAACGCAUUAAGCAUUCCGCCUGGGGAGUACGACCGCAAGGUUGAAACUCAAAGGAAUUGACGGGGGCCCGCACAAGCGGUGGAGCAUGUGGUUUAAUUCGAAGCAACGCGAAGAACCU